GACGAACGCUGGCGGCGUGCUUAACACAUGCAAGUCGAACGGAAAGGCCCUGCUUUUGUGGGGUGCUCGAGUGGCGAACGGGUGAGUAACACGUGAGUAACCUGCCCUUGACUUUGGGAUAACUUCAGGAAACUGGGGCUAAUACCGGAUAGGAGCUCCUGCUGCAUGGUGGGGGUUGGAAAGUUUCGGCGGUUGGGGAUGGACUCGCGGCUUAUCAGCUUGUUUGUGGGGUAGUGGCUUACCAAGGCUUUGACGGGUAGCCGGCCUGAGAGGGUGACCGGCCACCUUGGGACUGCGAUACGGCCCAGACUCCUACGGGAGGCAGCAGUGGAGAAUAUUGCACAAUGGGCGGAAGCCUGAUGCAGCAACGCCGCGUGCGGGAUGACGGCCUUCGGGUUGUAAACCGCUUUCGCCUGUGACGAAGCGUGAGUGACGGUAAUGGGUAAAGAAGCACCGGCUAACUACGUG
This 468-nucleotide ribosomal RNA is filed under the name uncultured bacterium. RNAcentral's name for it is "partial 16S ribosomal RNA". It matches the Rfam family "Bacterial small subunit ribosomal RNA", at positions 28 to 507 of the family's 1533-position model. The record is from RNAcentral.